UUAAGCGACUAAGCGUACACGGUGGAUGCCCUGGCAGUCAGAGGCGAUGAAGGACGUGCUAAUCUGCGAAAAGCGUCGGUAAGGUGAUAUGAACCGUUAUAACCGGCGAUGUCCGAAUGGGGAAACCCAGUGUGAUUCGUCACACUAUCGUUAACUGAAUACAUAGGUUAACGAGGCGAACCGGGGGAACUGAAACAUCUAAGUACCCCGAGGAAAAGAAAUCAACCGAGAUUCCCCCAGUAGCGGCGAGCGAACGGGGAGCAGCCCAGAGUCUGAAUCAGCUUGUGUGUUAGUGGAACGGUCUGGAAAGUCCGACGGUACAGGGUGAUAGUCCCGUACACCAAAAUGCACAGGUUGUGAACUCGAAGAGUAGGGCGGGACACGUGGUAUCCUGUCUGAAUAUGGGGGGACCAUCCUCCAAGGCUAAAUACUCCUGACUGACCGAUAGUGAACCAGUACCGUGAGGGAAAGGCGAAAAGAACCCCGGCGAGGGGAGUGAAAAAGAACCUGAAACCGUGUACGUACAAGCAGUGGGAGCACCUUCGGGUGUGACUGCGUACCUUUUGUAUAAUGGGUCAGCGACUUAUAUUCUGUAGCAAGGUUAACCGUAUAGGGGAGCCGCAGGGAAACCGAGUCUUAACUGGGCGUUAAGUUGCAGGGUAUAGACCCGAAACCCGGUGAUCUAGCCAUGGGCAGGUUGAAGGUUGGGUAACACUAACUGGAGGACCGAACCGACUAAUGUUGAAAAAUUAGCGGAUGACUUGUGGCUGGGGGUGAAAGGCCAAUCAAACCGGGAGAUAGCUGGUUCUCCCCGAAAGCUAUUUAGGUAGCGCCUCGUGAACUCAUCUUCGGGGGUAGAGCACUGUUUCGGCUAGGGGGUCAUCCCGACUUACCAACCCGAUGCAAACUACGAAUACCGAAGAAUGUUAUCACGGGAGACACACGGCGGGUGCUAACGUCCGUCGUGAAGAGGGAAACAACCCAGACCGCCAGCUAAGGUCCCAAAGUCAUGGUUAAGUGGGAAACGAUGUGGGAAGGCACAGACAGCCAGGAUGUUGGCUUAGAAGCAGCCAUCAUUUAAAGAAAGCGUAAUAGCUCACUGGUCGAGUCGGCCUGCGCGGAAGAUGUAACGGGGCUAAACCAUGCACCGAAGCUGCGGCAGCGACACUAUGUGUUGUUGGGUAGGGGAGCGUUCUGUAAGCCUGCGAAGGUGUGCUGUGAGGCAUGCUGGAGGUAUCAGAAGUGCGAAUGCUGACAUAAGUAACGAUAAAGCGGGUGAAAAGCCCGCUCGCCGGAAGACCAAGGGUUCCUGUCCAACGUUAAUCGGGGCAGGGUGAGUCGACCCCUAAGGCGAGGCCGAAAGGCGUAGUCGAUGGGAAACAGGUUAAUAUUCCUGUACUUGGUGUUACUGCGAAGGGGGGACGGAGAAGGCUAUGUUAGCCGGGCGACGGUUGUCCCGGUUUAAGCAUGUAGGCUGAUUGUCCAGGCAAAUCCGGAUAAUCAAGGCUGAGGUGUGAUGACGAGGCACUACGGUGCUGAAGUAACAAAUGCCCUGCUUCCAGGAAAAGCCUCUAAGCAUCAGGUAACAUUAAAUCGUACCCCAAACCGACACAGGUGGUCAGGUAGAGAAUACCAAGGCGCUUGAGAGAACUCGGGUGAAGGAACUAGGCAAAAUGGUGCCGUAACUUCGGGAGAAGGCACGCUGGUGUGUAGGUGAAGUCCCUGCGGAUGGAGCUGAGACCAGUCGAAGAUACCAGCUGGCUGCAACUGUUUAUUAAAAACACAGCACUGUGCAAACACGAAAGUGGACGUAUACGGUGUGACGCCUGCCCGGUGCCGGAAGGUUAAUUGAUGGGGUUAUCCGUAAGGAGAAGCUCUUGAUCGAAGCCCCGGUAAACGGCGGCCGUAACUAUAACGGUCCUAAGGUAGCGAAAUUCCUUGUCGGGUAAGUUCCGACCUGCACGAAUGGCGUAAUGAUGGCCAGGCUGUCUCCACCCGAGACUCAGUGAAAUUGAACUCGCUGUGAAGAUGCAGUGUACCCGCGGCAAGACGGAAAGACCCCGUGAACCUUUACUAUAGCUUGACACUGAACAUUGAGCCUUGAKGUGUAGGAUAGGUGGGAGGCUUUGAAGCGUGGACGCCAGUCUGCGUGGAGCCAACCUUGAAAUACCACCCUUUAAUGUUUGAUGUUCUAACGUUGGCCCCUGACCGGGGUUGCGGACAGUGUCUGGUGGGUAGUUUGACUGGGGCGGUCUCCUCCCAAAGCGUAACGGAGGAGCACGAAGGUUAGCUAAUCCUGGUCGGACAUCAGGAGGUUAGUGCAAUGGCAUAAGCUAGCUUGACUGCGAGCGUGACGGCGCGAGCAGGUGCGAAAGCAGGUCAUAGUGAUCCGGUGGUUCUGAAUGGAAGGGCCAUCGCUCAACGGAUAAAAGGUACUCCGGGGAUAACAGGCUGAUACCGCCCAAGAGUUCAUAUCGACGGCGGUGUUUGGCACCUCGAUGUCGGCUCAUCACAUCCUGGGGCUGAAGUAGGUCCCAAGGGUAUGGCUGUUCGCCAUUUAAAGUGGUACGCGAGCUGGGUUUAGAACGUCGUGAGACAGUUCGGUCCCUAUCUGCCGUGGGCGCUGGAGAAUUGAGGGGGGCUGCUCCUAGUACGAGAGGACCGGAGUGGACGCAUCACUGGUGUUCGGGUUGUCAUGCCAAUGGCACUGCCCGGUAGCUAAAUGCGGAAGAGAUAAGUGCUGAAAGCAUCUAAGCACGAAACUUGCCCCGAGAUGAGUUCUCCCUGAGACUAUAAGUCUCCUGAAGGAACGUUAAAGACGAUGACGUUGAUAGGCCGGGUGUGUAAGCGCAGCGAUGCGUUGAGCUAACCGGUACUAAUGAACCGUGAGGCUUAACCUU
This 2900-nucleotide ribosomal RNA is filed under the name Klebsiella pneumoniae. Its description in RNAcentral is "bacterial LSU rRNA". It matches the Rfam family "Bacterial large subunit ribosomal RNA". The record is from RNAcentral. Lineage: Bacteria; Pseudomonadati; Pseudomonadota; Gammaproteobacteria; Enterobacterales; Enterobacteriaceae.